This is a long non-coding RNA of Drosophila pseudoobscura, 383 nucleotides long. RefSeq lists it as uncharacterized. The transcript has 2 exons. The record is from RefSeq and is a predicted model, not a curated record. NCBI's taxonomy places the organism in Eukaryota, Metazoa, Arthropoda, Insecta, Diptera, Drosophilidae.
GAACAUGCCAAAACAUAUUGGGCAUGGGCAAGGUUCACUCGGUAUAUUCACGCUGUACAAGCUUAAAUUCGGGGAGGGAGAAUCGCACUUGCCAUCCAUUUCAUUUUCACAAACAAAUCAAGGGAAGAAUUCAAUCCGAUUGCCUCCGCUGGUUCUGUUAAUCUGACUCGACCUCAGGUGUUAAUGAGGCCAGCCUGCCCAGACCAUCCAAAUGGCCCCUGUGCUUGAGGUGGCCAUUUUUCCAGUUCAAAACAUUAUAAAAUUAAUUUAUUCACUAAAAGAAAAUUCUACAAUUACCCCCAAACACCAUGACAUUUAUAUGUACGUACGUACAUAUGUAUGUACGUAUGUAUGUACAUAAUAAAAAUUUGUAAAUCCUCAAA